Molecule: long non-coding RNA, 627 nt
Organism: Quercus robur (English oak)
Lineage: Eukaryota; Viridiplantae; Streptophyta; Magnoliopsida; Fagales; Fagaceae
Exons: 2
Source: RefSeq, a predicted model, not a curated record
CAUAGUCUUAUCUACUAAUUCCCAACAUAUUUCCAACUUGUCAUUAAUGGUUCUUUCUCUUAUUAUCAUCAUCUUAUUUUGAUUCCUUCAUCCUAAUCACUCUCUAUGUGCAUGGUUGCUGAUGCAGAUGGGCUUUUUUUUACUUGUUCAAGGACUUGGGUGAUGGUGCUUAUUCAAGAUGAUCGAUUUGUUUGUUGACAGAAGAUAGAGAGCACAGUUGAACAUACCCAAGAAGGCAUGUGUAUGAGCAGUUUUGUGCUCUCUUUUCUUCCGUCAACACAUUCUUCUACUGUACUUUGCACGUGGACAUAAAGAAGUUGCAUGUAAUAUAAGGACUCAUCUUUGCUCACUUGAUAUCUUAUAUAAGCAGUGUAUUGUAGCAAUUGUAAAAUAGAGAGAAGAAAAAGAGAAUGAAAUAGAGAGAUUGGCUGGUGCAUAUUUGUGAGAGUUCUCUAGUUUAGAAUAGGGUGCAAGGUUUUGUCUAUUAUUUGUAUUUGUGAGAGAGCUAUUGGGUGUGAGUGAAAAUAUUGAUACACCAACUUGUAUAUCUCCAUAUUUGAUUAGUGGAAUUUCUUUGUCAUUGCCCGUGGAUGUAGGCCAAAAGCCGAACCACGUAAAUCCUUGGUA